RNAcentral lists this non-coding RNA (65 nucleotides) under marine eukaryotic metagenome. RNAcentral describes it as "SAM riboswitch (alpha-proteobacteria)". It matches the Rfam family "Alpha-proteobacteria SAM riboswitch aptamer", at positions 10 to 74 of the family's 79-position model. Rfam says of the family: This family is a riboswitch found predominantly in alpha-proteobacteria that binds S-adenosyl methionine (SAM). This SAM riboswitch is located upstream of the metA and metC genes in Agrobacterium tumefaciens, and other methionine and SAM biosynthesis genes in other alpha-proteobacteria. The record is from RNAcentral.
CACUGUGGCGAUUUGUAACCAGAUUGCGGGCCACACAAAAAAACCGCUAAAAGGUCAGGAUGAAA